This 233-nucleotide ribosomal RNA is filed under the name uncultured bacterium. RNAcentral's name for it is "partial 16S ribosomal RNA". It matches the Rfam family "Bacterial small subunit ribosomal RNA", at positions 15 to 250 of the family's 1533-position model. The record is from RNAcentral.
GAUCAUGGCUCAGGAUGAACGCUGGCGGCGUGCCUAAUACAUGCAAGUCGAACGCGAGCACUUGUGCUCGAGUGGCGAACGGGUGAGUAAUACAUAAGUAACCUGCCCUAGACAGGGGGAUAACUAUUGGAAACGAUAGCUAAGACCGCAUAGGUACGGACACUGCAUGGUGACCGUAUUAAAAGUGCCUCAAAGCACUGGUAGAGGAUGGACUUAUGGCGCAUUAGCUUGGG